GAUGAAGAACGCAGCGAAAUGCGAUAAGUAAUGCGAAUUGCAGAAUUCCGUGAGUCAUCGAAUCUUUGAACGCACAUUGCGCCCGCGAGUAUUCUCGCGGGCAUGCCUGUCCGAGCGUCAUUUCAACCCUCAGGGCCCGCCUGCUUCGGCAGGCGCGGCGCUGGUGUUGGGGAUCGGCCUAACCGCCGUCCCCCAAAUACAGUGGCGGUCUCGCUGCAGCCUCCCCUGCGUAGUAGCAACACUCGCAUGCGGAGCGCGGCGCGGCCACGCCGUAAAACCCCCGACUUUCUGAACGUUGACCUCGGAUCAGGUAGGAAUACCCGCUGAACUUAAGCAUAUCAAUAAGCGGAGGA
RNAcentral lists this unclassified non-coding RNA (353 nucleotides) under soil metagenome. RNAcentral describes it as "partial contains 5.8S ribosomal RNA, internal transcribed spacer 2, and large subunit ribosomal RNA". The stretch from base 1 to 120 matches the Rfam family "5.8S ribosomal RNA", at positions 35 to 154 of the family's 154-position model. The record is from RNAcentral.